AUAUCAAAUCGUUCCAAUAGAAGACCAUUCACACCAUUGAGUAAAAAUGUUGAUCAGUUAGACACAAUGGAUGAAUCAUUUACUGAUCUUGAUUCUACUCUCAAUACUUGUACACUAUCAGUAGCUCCUCCUUUUCCUCCUACUCCAAUGAGAGGUCCUCCCACUAAAAGACAAGCAUUAGGAUAUGGACAUUCAUUUAGUUCAAUGGAUCUCACUAAAUUAGGAUCCACUGGUACACUCUAAUACUGCAUGUUACUGUAUGUGUGUAUGACGCUUGUUAUUAUUAUUAUUAUAUUUUUAAUUCGUUCCUCCUUCAUUAAUAUAUCUAUGUACUUAUGUUGCAUUUGCUUUUUCCCUUCCUUUAUCUUAUCAUUGCUGUUAUUUCUGUCUCCAAACUAAACUAAUGUAA
Molecule: long non-coding RNA, 409 nt
Organism: Amphimedon queenslandica
Lineage: Eukaryota; Metazoa; Porifera; Demospongiae; Haplosclerida; Niphatidae
Exons: 3
Source: RefSeq, a predicted model, not a curated record